This 252-nucleotide ribosomal RNA is filed under the name uncultured bacterium. Its description in RNAcentral is "partial 16S ribosomal RNA". It matches the Rfam family "Bacterial small subunit ribosomal RNA", at positions 524 to 776 of the family's 1533-position model. The record is from RNAcentral.
UACGUAGGGGGCGAGCGUUAUCCGGAAUCACUGGGCGUAAAGGGUGCGUAGGCGGCCAACAAAGUCUGGGGUGAAAGGCUACGGCUUAACCGUAGUAAGCCUUGGAAACUUGAUGGCUUGAGUGCAGGAGAGGAGAGUGGAAUUCCUAGUGUAGCGGUGAAAUGCGUAGAUAUUAGGAGGAACACCAGUGGCGAAGGCGACUCUCUGGACUGUAACUGACGCUGAGGCACGAAAGCGUGGGGAGCAAACAGG